Molecule: unclassified non-coding RNA, 303 nt
Filed under: plant metagenome
Description: partial contains 5.8S ribosomal RNA, internal transcribed spacer 2, and large subunit ribosomal RNA
Rfam family: 5.8S ribosomal RNA (bases 1-105)
Source: RNAcentral
GAAAUGCGAUAAGUAAUGUGAAUUGCAGAAUUCAGUGAAUCAUCGAAUCUUUGAACGCACAUUGCGCCCGCCAGUAUUCUGGCGGGCAUGCCUGUUCGAGCGUCAUUUCAACCAUCAAGCCCCCGGCUUGUGUUGGGGACCUGCGGCUGCCCGCAGGCCCUGAAAACCAGUGGCGGGCUCGCUGUCACACCGAGCGUAGUAGCAUACAUCUCGCUCUGGGCGUGCUGCGGGUUCCGGCCGUUAAAAGCCUUUUUUACCCAAGGUUGACCUCGGAUCAGGUAGGAAGACCCGCUGAACUUAAGC